Non-coding RNA from Oryzias latipes (Japanese medaka), 1815 nucleotides. The record is from RefSeq and is a predicted model, not a curated record. Lineage: Eukaryota; Metazoa; Chordata; Actinopteri; Beloniformes; Adrianichthyidae.
UGUGGACUUUCUUUCUUUAACCAACAAUUUUGUCCACCACUGUAAGUGGGUAUGUGUUAGCCUGGGCAGGAGGGUUGCUGGAAGCUCAGAUUCUUACUGGAAGGGGCUGUUCUCACUGGUCUAUGUCAGUUCGUGAGAACCUGCUCAUUUUUGUGGGUAAGGAGGGGCUGAUGCUCAGAGCGCUGGUUUUUAGAGGAAUACUCAGAAUUAUGUGAAUGGAUCAAAAUGCUAUUUUGGAGAUGUUUAUAGUGAGGAAAUAACAUUAUAAAACAUUUAAAUGCUCUAAAAAUAGAAUCUGAAUGGUAUAGGCCUUUCAACUUUAACAAAUAUUUGAAAUAAAACAAGAUUAAUAUCUAUUCAGGUCAUAAUGAUGACUUACAAGAGACAGUCAGGUGGUGAAUCUGAUCCAGAAUACCAGCCGUCAUCUUUCCCAUCAUCAUUGUCAUAUAAAUAUGAGGUCAUCUUAUUGAGGACAUAUAGUACCACAGAACCAGUAGUGGUGACUUGCCGCUCAACAAAAAAGAUCAGAAGAGACAGGCAGGCCUCAAGCUCUGGUAAAAGAAAGCAAAAGGACGCAUCGAAACAUCAUGGUGGCGAUGGUGAUGACAAUGAUGUUGCGUUAAGCUUUGAAAACCUCAGUUAUUAACUGUAGUUUAAGACCUGUAUUAAUUACAUCUCUCUCAGAUGGAGACGGGCAGGUCUCAAACUCUGGUGGACGAAAGAAAAAAGGACGCACCAAAAAGGAUGCACCGAAACAUCGUGGUGGCGAUGAUGAUGACAAUGAUGGAGAUGGAGACGGGAAGGCCUCAAACUCUGGUGGACGAAAGAAAAAGAAGUUAAUUUCAAAGAAAAGAGACUUGCCAAAAGCAAUCAUCAAGAAGCCAUGGAGCCAAGAAGAGAGAACUGCAGUCAAACAAAAGAUGGCCGGCUUUAAUGGACUUAGAAGGGUACCAGGUAAAACAGACUACAGCAUUUACAUCGAGGAGUCUCCCAAACUAAAAAAAAAAGGUCAUGGAAAGAUAUAAAAUACUUUGUCUACAAUAAAAGCAUUAAAGUGUAAAAGAGAAAAAUGAUUUAGGGUUAAUCUGUUUUGCUCUUUUAAUUUAAUGUUAUUUAAUUCAAUGCACAAUUCUGAUUACUUUUAAGUGCAAUAUAUGUUUCUGGAUUUUUUUUGUUAAAAGGUUUCUGUUUAUUUCUAAAAGAUUUUUUUUCUAAAGGUUUUAUAUUGUUCUAAAAAAUGUAUGUUUUUCUAAAGUAUUUAAGUUUUUCUACUAUGAGCAGAUUUGUUGUUCAAAGGUGUUCAAUAAAGAAAAAGCCUGAAAAUACUGUAAUUGAAUUUUAUUUUUCUUUGAAAGCAUGCACAGUCCGUUUUACAAUCAAUUGUUGCAAAAUCAAUUACUUAAAACAAUUGUAGAAUUGAUUAGAAAGAAUUUUUGUAACAUAACUUUCUCCUGGAAUUAAGUUUUAACAUCAAUAUUUCAUCCACAGGAAAACUAAAAACUUUGAGUGUGUUUUCCAUGCUGGUCCUCACUUGCACAGUUGAAAACUUUUAUCAAAAACUUAAUGUUACCCAGAAUCUAACCUCAUAUUGUUAAAAAAGGCGACCUCUGGUGUCCAAAAGGGCGUUUUACACUCAUGUAAGUGAACCAGAAAGGCUGGUCCUCACUUCUCUGGCGAUUUCCCUGGACCUCACUAUGUAGUAUGUGCAAGAAUGUGUGUGUGUGUGUGUGUGUGUGUGUGUGUGACCGGUGUGUCUGAUCGUGCGCUGCAGGAAGGGAGGGGGAACAGCGUGUGGUGUGAGGAGGACAUCCACGC